This is a long non-coding RNA of Cannabis sativa, 473 nucleotides long. RefSeq lists it as uncharacterized. The record is from RefSeq and is a predicted model, not a curated record. The transcript is spliced from 2 exons. NCBI's taxonomy places the organism in Eukaryota, Viridiplantae, Streptophyta, Magnoliopsida, Rosales, Cannabaceae.
CUCCGUUUGGGACGUUCUUUAUACCGUUGGAAAGCUCUUUUUGAGCUCUAUGUGAUUAUCUUUAUUUGAAAUGCCAUGAAUUUAUUUUAUGAAUAUGAAAUCAGGGGUUAACCCUAUUUGUGAAAAUCCCGGAUUGUGUGACUAGGAUUACCGGCACCUGGUCAGGAGCACCCGGGGAUUCGGAAUCUCUGCCUUUGCGGGACAACAGGAAAGGGUAAGUCAGUGGCUGAUCAACCAUGAGUUUGAGGAGCAAGAUGAAGAAUGUACAUGUUCAAGCCAUAUCAGACCAAGCGGGUUAAGGGUCUAUCAGUGAUGAACUUUUGAAUUCUAUUUUGCCGUUUAGGUCGGCUAGAAAUAAAUGACUUGUAAUAGCGUUUGUAAAUAUUUUUGGGAUCCCAACUAUUUUAAAAGUUUUAAAUAUAUUACAAGUUUAUUUUCUUUCUGUUUAAUAUAAAAGUUUAAAUUCUGCGCUA